CAGAGCCUUUCUGCUGUUAGCUGUGUGAAGCCUGUCUGCCUGGACAGGGAAAGCAGGAGCCAGAAAUGACUUCCCUGCACAUAUCCUGGUGUAAGAUCUGUGCCAAGGCACCUAAUUAACUACUGCAAGGGAUGGACUUGAAGAAUGGACACAGGAACAUACCCCAUUCUGACAGACGAGCUGAAGAACAAUCAGAUGCUGCAGAGUACAAGUUUAAUACACACAACAACAGUUCUUGUCAGGUGGAAAAUGUUUGUGCAGUAACCCCUUGCCUGUUUGUCUUCAUAAACAACGAGCUCUUAAGAGGGUCAAACUGCAGGCAGAGCCGAUGCAGCUCGGGGAAGCCAACUUCCAAACAGCACUGUCAGACACUUUUGCAGAGUGCCCCUGUUUCCUUAGGAAUCUGCAGAAAACAAGCUACUUUUCAGAGCUCUAUUGCAAGUCAGACAAUUUGAGCAUUGAAAUCUUGCUGGGCUGCUCCUCUCCUGCCUGCAGCUGCCCUGGGCCCAUGCUGCUUGCUGGGGGCCUGAGGGCUCAGCCAGCACCCAGCACGGGGAAGCACGAGGGAGAAGUACGAGCAGAAGCAUGGCCCAGGGGGGCUGCCCCAGGGAAGAACAAAUGGUGAGGGCUUGGAAGCAGCCAAGCAGAAUGAAGGCACAAGUUUGUCCUCAAUGGAAAAUGUGGUUUAAUUGGAAUGAGUUUUUUCUGUGUAGGAUAAUAUUGAUUUGAAAGUGAUGGAACAAACAGAAAUAUUUCCGUUCACACUGACGUUUAUUUGGACAUUUCAUUUCAGAUGUUGAAGUGUUUCUUUCCUAAUUAGCAUUUUUAGUUGUGCCACUUUAAAUUGAUUUCUUAAAUUGUGUGUGUUACAUUUUAUCUACUGGCUUUCUAUUCCUUUUGGAAUGAAAGCAGACCUUGGAACAUCAGAAUUUCCUUCUGACAAGCUCUGCUUUUUCAAUUUAAUACAUUAAGAAUUUUCAUUUCUUGUAUGGUAAAUCUUAUUUAAUUGUUUAUUUUCUUUUUA
Cygnus olor (mute swan) is the source of this 1024-nucleotide long non-coding RNA. RefSeq lists it as uncharacterized. Lineage: Eukaryota; Metazoa; Chordata; Aves; Anseriformes; Anatidae. The record is from RefSeq and is a predicted model, not a curated record. The transcript is spliced from 4 exons.